RNAcentral lists this ribosomal RNA (548 nucleotides) under Racelda sp. CW-2009. RNAcentral describes it as "partial 16S ribosomal RNA". It matches the Rfam family "Bacterial large subunit ribosomal RNA", at positions 1797 to 2621 of the family's 2925-position model. Lineage: Eukaryota; Metazoa; Arthropoda; Insecta; Hemiptera; Reduviidae. The record is from RNAcentral.
CGCCUGUUUAUCAAAAACAUGUCCUUUUGGAAUUUAUAUAAGGUAUAACCUGCUCUAUGAUAUUAUUAAAUGGCCGCAGUAUAUUAACUGUGCUAAGGUAGCAUAAUCAAUUGUCUUUUAAUUAAGGGCUAGAAUGAAUGGUUGGACGAGAUGAUGACUUUCUUUUUGUUAUUUUUUUAAUUUGACUUGUCAGUAAAAAGGCUGAUAUAUUUUUAUGGGACGAGAAGACCCUAUAGAUCUUUAUAUUAUUUUGAAUUUGUUUAUUUUUUAAUUUAUAAAUUAAUUUAUUGUUUUAUUUAAUUGGGGUGAUUGUGGAAUUUCUUUAACUUCUUUUAUUAUUUUUAUAGAUUAGUAUUUAUAUGAUCUUAUUUUAUAGAUUUUAAGAUUAAGUUACCUUAGGGAUAACAGCGUAAUUUUUCCGGAGAGUUCAUAUUGAUGGAUUAGUUUGCGACCUCGAUGUUGGAUUAAAAUAGGUUUUGGGUGAAGAAGUCUAAUAACUAGGUCUGUUCGACCUUUAUAAUUUUACAUGAUCUGAGUUCAAACCGGAG